RNAcentral lists this small RNA (29 nucleotides) under Bombyx mori (domestic silkworm). RNAcentral describes it as "ovarian small RNA-6013". The record is from RNAcentral. Lineage: Eukaryota; Metazoa; Arthropoda; Insecta; Lepidoptera; Bombycidae.
UACCAGAAUAUGAGGGUAACAGAAAACGG